AUACGGAGGGUGCGAGCAUUAAUCGGAUUUAUUGGGCGUAAAGAGCGCGUAGGUGGGCUAGUAAGUCAGACGUGAAAGCCCGGAGCUCAACUCUGGAGUGCUUUUGAAACUGAUCGGCUUAGAGGAUAGGCGGAGAAAACGGAAUUCCACAUGUAGCGGUGGAAUGCGUAGAUAUGUGGAAGAACACCGGUGGCGAAGGCGGUUUUCUAGCCUAUGCCUGACGCUGAGGCGCGAAAGUCAGGGGAGCAAACAGGAUUAGAUACCCGAGUAGUCC
RNAcentral lists this ribosomal RNA (274 nucleotides) under uncultured bacterium. RNAcentral's name for it is "partial 16S ribosomal RNA". It matches the Rfam family "Bacterial small subunit ribosomal RNA", at positions 523 to 796 of the family's 1533-position model. The record is from RNAcentral.